AUUCCCGGCCUUACUUAAGCUGCCACAAGCCAUGGCGUAGGUCUCAGAUGGGGCUUGGAUCUGAUGUUGCUGUGGCGUAGGAUUUGACCCCUAGCCUGAGAACUUCCAUAUGCCACAGGUGCAGCCCUAAAAAAAAAAAAAAAACGAACAAAAAAUAGUUUAGCCUGACCAGCCACCAUAAUAAUUGUGAGAAAUUAUAUAUUUUUUUGAAAAACUCCUUGAGCCUUCCCGACCCCCCCCCAUAAUUUUUAGAUUUGUCAUCAAUUCAUAUAAGAUGAUAGAAUUUCUGUGAUGAAGCAUUUGUGAUUUUCUCCUUCUUUUAUUUGAUCUCAUGUUGAUUACUGUCUUCCUUAUGCAGGCCCCACCCCUGCUGCCCAGUCAGAUCCACUUUUCACUGAAGGAAGAGGAUGUUGGGAGCCCUGGCAGGGGAAGCGGAGGGCAGAGGUUAAGGGCAGAAUUUUUUUUUUGAUCACCGCAGAAAUUGGAGAUAGGAACCUGAACUGUUGAGAGGGAGGUGAUAUGGUCUCCAAGAAGGCAAUUAAGUAGACACGGAGUGUGGGAAUUAGGGAUCAGGACUGUGCAGUGAACAGGUUGAGUGGUCUCAGACAAGUUACAUUGAACCCUAGUGCCUCAUUUUCCUUGUAUCAAGCAGAGGCAGUGUUAGAAUUAAUUAAUUUUGCAGGGCGCUUUGAGAUCCACCAGUGAGAGAGUAGAGCCUUGUGUGUGGGGUUUUGUGUUGCUUUUAUUCUUGUUUCUAGAAAAAGGAAAGUGUCCUUUUUUUCUUAUACCUAACCCCCACACCUCACAAUAAGAAAGUCAAAAUAACCUGUUGGCUUUACCAGCUACGUCUUCUUGUGCAUUGCAUUCAAACCUGCACCCUGGCCUUAUUUCUGAGCACAAAUACUAUGUGUUUCUGUCGUUAUUCUCUGUGGGCCUGAGUUUCCAGUGAUCUCAUUCUAACCUUACUGUUAUUUCUGAAUAUUAUGCAGGGCUGAUAAUGUUACUGUCUUGGUGUUUGUGUUUCUUAGGUGGCUUGUUUUUAUGAUGUUCUUCAUGCCUGAUCAUAAUGCCUCUUGCAGCAAUUCCCCUAAAGUUCUUAAAGAGUCCCCCAGAUUUGACCCUUGAACACAGAGUCUCUUGCUUCUGAGACUGAUCACCAAUGUGGCCUCACUCUGUUUCACAGUUUGUUUCCAUCUUUUUGGCAGAACAAAAAUGUCCAAGUUCUAUAUGUUUGCUUAUAAAUACACGACUCAGCUGUGUUCCCAUCCUUUGUGUCAACAGGAAAAUUCCCUUGUUCUAUGUUUAGCUUGAAUAAUUACCAAACUGUUUGUGAUUAGAAUGUGAGGAUGUGACCUCACAGCAAUUUUUUCAUUUCCUUUCUCUGUAUUUAAUACAUUUCAGAAACUGAAAAUACCAAAUCUGUUCUCUCUCUCUUUUUUUUUGAUGCUUAUCAGUAAUGGAAACAUUGCAAAACAAUCAGCCCAAUACCUAUGCUUUGUUCAUUUAUUGCCUUCUCUGAAGAUAAAUUGACUGUACUCAACUCUCUUCAGCAUUUUUCUUCACCUAGAUAUUAUUGCCUUGUGCAGCCACCCCAAGGUGACUGUUAUCACUUAAUUAAAUCCUUGCACGCUGGGAAGAAAAAACAGCAUUGUUCCUUCAUAACCCCAAGGAGCCUAUUUUUAAGCCACUAAGCCUUUUCCCUGUUUUAUUAACUUAUUCCUGGCUACAACAAGACAUACUUUUGUUGAUGAGCAAAAGGUUGUAUUAGCUUUUUAUUUUCUGGGUAAACUUAUCUAUUCUCUGGGAAGGAGAAAAAAAAAAAAA
This 1824-nucleotide long non-coding RNA is filed under the name Sus scrofa (pig). RNAcentral's name for it is "lncRNA (ENSSSCG00015074605.1)". The record is from RNAcentral. Lineage: Eukaryota; Metazoa; Chordata; Mammalia; Artiodactyla; Suidae.